GGUUGUGGCUCAGUGGUAGAGCGCUCGCUUAGCACGUACAAGGCCCUGGGUUUGAUCCUCAGCACCA
RNAcentral lists this transfer RNA (67 nucleotides) under Marmota monax (woodchuck). RNAcentral's name for it is "tRNA.Ala". The record is from RNAcentral. Lineage: Eukaryota; Metazoa; Chordata; Mammalia; Rodentia; Sciuridae.